ACGAACGCUGGCGGCGUGCUUAACACAUGCCAGUCGAACGGAAAGGCCCUGCUUGCCGGGUACUCGAGUGGCGAACGGGUGAGUAACACGUGGGUGAUCUGCCCUGCACUUCGGGAUAAGCUUGGGAAACUGGGUCUAAUACCGGAUAGGACCGCACUUUAGUGUGUGUGGUGGAAAGUUUUUUCGGUGUAGGAUGAGCUCGCGGCCUAUCAGCUUGUUGGUGGGGUAAUGGCCUACCAAGGCGGCGACGGGUAGCCGGCCUGAGAGGGUGUACGGCCACAUUGGGACUGAGAUACGGCCCAGACUCCUACGGGAGGCAGCAGUGGGGAAUAUUGCACAAUGGGCGCAAGCCUGAUGCAGCGACGCCGCGUGGGGGAUGAAGGCCUUCGGGUUGUAAACUCCUUUCGCUAGGGACGAAGCUUUUUGUGACGGUACCUAGAGAAGAAGCACCGGCUAACUACGUG
RNAcentral lists this ribosomal RNA (464 nucleotides) under uncultured bacterium. Its description in RNAcentral is "partial 16S ribosomal RNA". It matches the Rfam family "Bacterial small subunit ribosomal RNA", at positions 29 to 507 of the family's 1533-position model. The record is from RNAcentral.